This 130-nucleotide non-coding RNA is filed under the name Ruminiclostridium cellobioparum subsp. termitidis. Its description in RNAcentral is "Clostridium termitidis FMN sequence". It matches the Rfam family "FMN riboswitch aptamer (RFN element)". Rfam says of the family: The RFN element is a highly conserved domain that is found frequently in the 5'-untranslated regions of prokaryotic mRNAs that encode for flavin mononucleotide (FMN) biosynthesis and transport proteins. This element is a metabolite-dependent riboswitch that directly binds FMN in the absence of proteins. The record is from RNAcentral. RNAcentral also lists the same sequence under 1 other name. Lineage: Bacteria; Bacillati; Bacillota; Clostridia; Eubacteriales; Oscillospiraceae.
GCGUAUCUUCAGGGCAGGGUGAAAUUCCCUACCGGCGGUAAUAUGCAGUUGAAUGCAUUAGCCCGCGAGCGAAAGCAGACAUGGUGAGAUCCCGUGGCCGACAGUACAGUCUGGAUGGAAGAAGAAUUGG